UACGGAAGGCAGCAGUGGGGAAUAUUGCACAAUGGGCGCAAGCCUGAUGCAGCCAUGCCGCGUGUAUGAAGAAGGCCUUCGGGUUGUAAAGUACUUUCAGUCGUGAGGAAGGUGUUAAGGUUAAUAACCUUAGCAAUUGACGUUAGCGACAGAAGAAGCACCGGCUAACUCCGUGCCAGCAGCCGCGGUAAUACGGAGGGUGCGAGCGUUAAUCGGAAUUACUGGGCGUAAAGGGCACGCAGGCGGUUAAUUAAGUUGGAUGUGAAAUCCCCGGGCUUAACCUGGGAAUGGCAUUCAAGACUGGUUAGCUAGAGUCUUGUAGAGGGGGUAGAAUUCCAUGUGUAGCGGUGAAAUGCGUAGAGAUGUGGAGGAAUACCGGCGGCGAAAGGCGGCCCCUGGACAAAGACUGACGCUCAUGUGCGAAAGCGUGGGGAGCAAA
RNAcentral lists this ribosomal RNA (439 nucleotides) under uncultured bacterium. RNAcentral's name for it is "bacterial SSU rRNA". It matches the Rfam family "Bacterial small subunit ribosomal RNA", at positions 340 to 772 of the family's 1533-position model. The record is from RNAcentral.